Molecule: ribosomal RNA, 542 nt
Filed under: Hippichthys penicillus (beady pipefish)
Lineage: Eukaryota; Metazoa; Chordata; Actinopteri; Syngnathiformes; Syngnathidae
Description: partial 12S rRNA
Rfam family: Bacterial small subunit ribosomal RNA
Source: RNAcentral
ACCCCUGUGAGAAUGCCCUUAGCCCUCUUAUGAGACUAAGGAGCGGGCAUCAGGCUCACACUUAAUAAGUAGCCAAUAACGCCUUGCUUAGCCACACCCCCAAGGGAAUUCAGCAGUGAUAAACAUUAAGCAAUGAGAGAAAACUCGACUCAGUUAACGUACUAAGAGUUGGUAAAACUCGUGCCAGCCACCGCGGUUAUACGAGAAACUCAAAAUGAUAAGCACCGGCGUAAAGGGUGGUUAGGAGAUUAAUAACUAAAGUUAAACAUUUUCUUAGCUGUUAUACGCAAUUGAAAACAUGAAAUUCAACCACGAAAGUAACUUUAAACAUCUGAAUCCACUAAAGCUACUAAACAAACUGGGAUUAGAUACCCCACUAUGCUUAGCCAUAAACACCGAUAUAAUAUUACAUUUUUAUCCGCCAGGGAAUUACGAGCACUAGCUUAAAACCCAAAGGACUUGGCGGUGCUUCAAACCCACCUAGAGGAGCCUGUUCUAGAACCGAUAAUCCCCGUUAAACCUCACCCCUCCUUGUUUAAUCC